This is a non-coding RNA of Caenorhabditis elegans, 73 nucleotides long. The record is from Ensembl. Lineage: Eukaryota; Metazoa; Nematoda; Chromadorea; Rhabditida; Rhabditidae.
CUGCCUUUUUACUCCGUCAAUAUGAUACAUAAGUGUAGUAUAUGUGGCUGUCCGAAGCAGUGUGAAUAAAUCA